AGAGUUUGAUCCUGGCUCAGGAUGAACGCUGGCGGCAUGCCUAAUACAUGCAAGUCGAACGAGAGGAAGGAAAGCUUGCUUUUCUGAAUCUAGUGGCGAACGGGUGAGUAACACGUAGGUAACCUGCCCAUGUGCCCGGGAUAACUUCUGGAAACGGAUGCUAAAACCGGAUAGGUAGCAGACAAGCAUUUGACUGCUAUUAAAGUGGCUGAGGCCAUGAACAUGGAUGGACCUGCGGUGCAUUAGCUAGUUGGUGAGGUAACGGCCCACCAAGGCGACGAUGCAUAGCCGGCCUGAGAGGGCGGACGGCCACAUUGGGACUGAGACACGGCCCAAACUCCUACGGGAGGCAGCAGUAGGGAAUUUUCGUCAAUGGGGGGAACCCUGAACGAGCAAUGCCGCGUGAGUGAAGAAGGUCUUCGGAUCGUAAAGCUCUGUUGUAAGAGAAAAACGACAUUCAUAGGGAAUGAUGGGUGAGUGAUGGUAUCUUACCAGAAAGUCACGGCUAACUACGUGCCAGCAGCCGCGGUAAUACGUAGGUGGCGAGCGUUAUCCGGAAUGAUUGGGCGUAAAGGGUGCGUAGGUGGCAGAACAAGUCUGGAGUAAAAGGUAUGGGCUCAACCCGUACUGGCUCUGGAAACUGUUCAGCUAGAGAACAGAAGAGGACGGCGGAACUCCAUGUGUAGCGGUAAAAUGCGUAGAUAUAUGGAAGAACACCGGUGGCGAAGGCGGCCGUCUGGUCUGUUGCUGACACUGAAGCACGAAAGCGUGGGGAGCAAAUAGGAUUAGAUACCCUAGUAGUCCACGCCGUAAAC
Molecule: ribosomal RNA, 815 nt
Filed under: uncultured bacterium
Lineage: Bacteria
Description: bacterial SSU rRNA
Rfam family: Bacterial small subunit ribosomal RNA
Source: RNAcentral